Molecule: non-coding RNA, 95 nt
Organism: Xenopus laevis (African clawed frog)
Lineage: Eukaryota; Metazoa; Chordata; Amphibia; Anura; Pipidae
Source: Rfam
GCUGAUGUCCAAGUGAUGACUGAACCUUUUUUCCCCAACAGAUCGACACUGUUGACUUGUAAAGCUUUUAAGCCAGUUUUGUCUGAUACAUCAGC